UUCAAACAAUAAUUUAAGCAUUGAUUUCAUGAUUUCCCUUCUAUAAACACUGAUGAUUAACCACUUACCAGUACUCAUCGUCUACCUAAAACUUGCGGUACCUGUAGCUGUAAAUCUCUCCUUGUAAUUGUGUUUGAGCCUAAAUAUAUUCCAUCAAACAUAGUGAGUAUUCAUGGUGGGUUUCUGUCGUGGAAGUAGAAAAACAUGAGGCUGGUUGGGUUAUUGGUGACUUAACUGAAGGCCAUUGGACAUAGUCCUUGGAAAAGCCAUGAAGAAAAGGAAAAGGCCAAGAUGGCCUAUUUGGUAUUGCAUAUUGCAUGCUAGCUAAAAGCCAUAUGGAUGUAUGUUAUUAUAAUAAUAUUAUUCUAAGCUAUAUCAGUGGAAUGGUGUGAUUGAAGAGAUGAUACCUCCAAGCUUCCAAGUUAGGUUGGAAGCCAAGUUCGAGUUCAGAUGGAAACCAACCCCACGUCGGGACUUAAAUCCCAAAUCCAAGUCAGAGUUUACACUCAGAGUCGGGAUGAAAACCAAAGUCCAAGUAGUGGUGGUGGCACAACUCCAAGUCCGGAUGGAGAGCGAAUUACAAAUGGCUUUGCAGACUUGUGUUAUACACAUUAAAUUGUAAUUAAGUGAAAGUUACGGCCAUAAGAGACAUGAUUCAGUGUGGGCAAGAGCACAAACAUCUCGUGCAAAUGCAUAUUCAAUAGCCAAUAUUAAAGGCGAGCUGACGUCAUCGAUGACAUCAACUAGCUGUUAAGAUAUUUUUUUCUAAAUAGCCUUUUAAAAUGUUAUCAACAUAUAC
RNAcentral lists this long non-coding RNA (799 nucleotides) under Prunus persica (peach). Its description in RNAcentral is "long non-coding RNA (PPER_LNC003053)". The record is from RNAcentral. Lineage: Eukaryota; Viridiplantae; Streptophyta; Magnoliopsida; Rosales; Rosaceae.